GAGGGUAGAGCUCAGUGGUAGAGCACAUGCUUAGCAUGCCUGAGGUCUUGGGUUCAGUCCCCAGUCCCUUCA
Molecule: transfer RNA, 72 nt
Filed under: Camelus bactrianus (Bactrian camel)
Lineage: Eukaryota; Metazoa; Chordata; Mammalia; Artiodactyla; Camelidae
Also listed under: 2 other names
Rfam family: tRNA
About the family: Transfer RNA (tRNA) molecules are approximately 80 nucleotides in length.
Source: Rfam by way of RNAcentral